GGAGGGGGGUCUCUUUUAUUGCAACUCUAAGUAUUUGCAGCCUGCUUUAGGUGAACGUGUUUUCCAAGACGGUCUCUCUCCCGCUGUUGCGUAGUUGCAGCUUCUUGUUGGCAGGAAUGGGCCAAGGACUUCAGGGACAGGACUGUGGAACACGGAGUGAAUAUUUGGAGAGCUUAAAAAAAAAAGACAAAAAGACAGAUUCUUAAUUCAGUCUUGAUCAUAAUCAUUUUGUAAUGAUCACUGUGAGCAUCGAGCCUAACGUCUAUAGCAUCACUGUCCCUGCUCCUAUCCAGACCGUUGACAGCAAUCACUUAUUUGCACUGCCACGUAUCUGCCUAUGGCUGUGAAGAAUGCAGUUAGCUAGCGCAAAGCUGUCCUCAACGUGGCAGUCCGUAGAGCAGAGAAAAUCUACUUUGGCAGCAUAACAGCUAACCAUGGUUAGCUCGUCUCCUUCCUCCUGGUAUGCAGCUGAUAUGGAGAAUAAACCAGGUCAACUGAAUGAGUCAGCACAAGCAACAUCAAGACUUCUCAUUUUCUUAUGGCAUAAUUGCACCAUGAGAGUCACAGAAGACUUCAUAUACAAGGUUGGUGAGAGCAACAUGUAUCAAAAAAGGGACUGCAGUUUAAAGCUAGGGCUAGGACUUGGAGGAUGUGUAGGCAAACGGAAGGAGAGCCGGGGGAAGAAAAACCGAAAUGGAUUCAUUCUCUGUCCUGGAUGGAGGAGGAGAGGAGAAGAAGGGGACGUGCGAGCUUCCUUCAACUGCCUCUGUCCGGUGAAAAGUGAUCAAACCCCCGGGGCUCACUAG
RNAcentral lists this long non-coding RNA (806 nucleotides) under Struthio camelus australis. RNAcentral's name for it is "lncRNA (ENSSCUG00000017444.1)". The stretch from base 622 to 806 matches the Rfam family "SOX2 overlapping transcript exon 3", at positions 1 to 191 of the family's 276-position model. The record is from RNAcentral. Lineage: Eukaryota; Metazoa; Chordata; Aves; Struthioniformes; Struthionidae.